Molecule: long non-coding RNA, 562 nt
Organism: Aphis gossypii (cotton aphid)
Lineage: Eukaryota; Metazoa; Arthropoda; Insecta; Hemiptera; Aphididae
Exons: 3
Source: RefSeq, a predicted model, not a curated record
AUGAUUAUUAUUUUUAUAUUGUUUUAUAAUAUUUUAGAGGUCAACUUAAGAAAUUCAAAUGGGAACUUAUACUUAAUUUGCAAUCAUAAUGUGAAAAAAUGUUGAUGCAUAAAAAUUUAAAUUCGGACGAGUAAUUUACGAGUUUUAUACUAGAUUAAAAAAAAUAAAAAAAAUUACCUUCUUCCGCAAGAUUCUUAUUCAAAACCAAUUUUCCAUGACGGAGAUAAUUUAAAAUGGGACUAAAAUAUGUUGGAUCACGAUCAAUCAUGUAUGCACCAGUUUCAUCCUAAAUCAAGAAAAGUAAUAAGAAAUAAAGCAAUAUAAUGUGCCAUGAAGAUGUAGUACUCACAGCAGUGUUAGUUAAUAAGCAAGAUAAUAACAAAGGUUUUAGCUCAUGAUGAAAAUUUACAUAUUUUUGAAUCAUCUUAAAUAGUUUGAUGGACCAGAAGGUUUUUUAAAGUGCAAAGAGUUAUGAUUUGUUCUAAUAAGUAAAAUUGGCAAUGCUUGUAAGUUGUAACUUAAUAAGCAUACAGUUAAGUUGUCCGACAGGGAAAAACAUGAU